RNAcentral lists this ribosomal RNA (438 nucleotides) under uncultured bacterium. Its description in RNAcentral is "partial 16S ribosomal RNA". It matches the Rfam family "Bacterial small subunit ribosomal RNA", at positions 339 to 795 of the family's 1533-position model. The record is from RNAcentral.
CUACGGGGUGCUCCAGUGAGGAAUAUUGCACAAUGGGGGGAACCCUGAUGCAGCAACGCCGCGUGGAGGAUGACGCAUUUCGGUGCGUAAACUCCUUUUAUAUGUCAAGAAAAUGACGGUAGCAUAUGAAUAAGCACCGGCUAACUCCGUGCCAGCAGCCGCGGUAAUACGGAGGGUGCAAGCGUUACUCGGAAUCACUGGGCGUAAAGGACGCGUAGGCGGGUUGGAAAGUCAGGUGUGAAAUCCUACAGCUUAACUGUAGAACUGCACUUGAAACUUCUAAGCUAGAGUUGGGAGGGGGAGAUGGAAUUAGUGGUGUAGGGGUAAAAUCCGUAGAUAUCACUAGGAAUACCUAAAGCGAAGGCGAUCUCCUGGAACAUUACUGACGCUAAGGCGUGAAAGCGUGGGGAGCAAACAGGAUUAGAUACCCGAGUGGUC